GACGAACGCUGGCGGCGUGCUUAACACAUGCAAGUCGUACGGUAAGGCCCUUUCGGGGGUACACGAGUGGCGAACGGGUGAGUAACACGUGAGUAACCUGCCCACAACUUUGGGAUAACGCUAGGAAACUGGUGCUAAUACUGGAUAUGUGCUCCUGCUGCAUGGUGGGGGUUGGAAAGCUCCGGCGGUUGUGGAUGGACUCGCGGCCUAUCAGCUUGUUGGUGGGGUAGUGGCCUACCAAGGCGGCGACGGGUAGCCGGCCUGAGAGGGUGACCGGCCACAUUGGGGCUGAGAUACGGCCCAGGCUCCUACGGGUGGCAGCAGUGGGGAAUAUUGCACAAUGGGCGCAAGCCUGAUGCAGCAACGCCGCGUGCGGGAUGACGGCCUUCGGGUUGUAAACCGCUUUCAGCAGGGACGAAGCUUUUUGUGACGGUACCUGCAGAAGAAGCACCGGCUAACUACGUG
This 465-nucleotide ribosomal RNA is filed under the name uncultured bacterium. RNAcentral's name for it is "partial 16S ribosomal RNA". It matches the Rfam family "Bacterial small subunit ribosomal RNA", at positions 28 to 507 of the family's 1533-position model. The record is from RNAcentral.